UCGCACAGUUUGAUGUCACUUCGACCUACUGCGAGAUCCAUCUGACCCGGGCAGAAGAGUAGCGCGGGACAUGAGGGCCGUCAUCAUCGUGGUUUGAAGAAGCAGCAGUCUAGGAGCCGAGAACAGAAGAGUCCGAUCAGGAACCAUGGGCCUCGGCAGAAGCAGUUCCAGCGGUUUAUCUCGGCUCGCCUUCAUCACAGCUCUGGCGUUCUGCAUGGCUUUUGUGCAGACAGAAACAGUGGCUGAUUCCAUCCCUACACUGCAGAAUGAUAACCAGGACACACUAUCCGGUGCCGGAGCCAUCGACGCGACAACUAAAGUCCCUUACCAGGACCUGACGGGAAACAUCCUCUACAUUGACUAUGAGGACAGUACACGUUCACAAACCCUGGAUGAGGAAGUUGUUCUGGGGCCAGGGGCCAUCACAGCUAUCGUCAUCGCAGUGUUCCUCGGAGCCUCUGUUCUCCUCGCUCUCAUUGUGAUCACGCUCAGAAAGUUCACUGCCUCUUAGGAAGGGACAUUUAUGUUUUCAUUUUCUCCCUUCCUCAGUCUCAUCUCUUUGCUCCCCUUGUUUUUCCCUCUCCUCCAUCUGUACUCAUUGGUGGCAGGUCCCUCAUGAAAUGGUUGUUUAGUUGUUCUUUACUGUUACUCGACUUGUUUUGUGAUUUCUUUCUCCUAAUCUUAAAAAUAAAGGUUCAUUAUUGGCAUCGAUGGGCCCAUUAAGAACCAUCCAUGGAGCCUUUUCAUUGCACAAAAGGUUCUUUAUAGUGGACAAAUGUUAUUUAGAUUAAAAUGUUCUUCACACUAAGAAAAAAUGGUUCUUCCAUGGCAUCGCUGUGAAAACCUACCUUGUGGAACCUUUAUUUUUAAGAUGAAAACUCAAGACAAAGCAAACGAGACAAAAGGGGACUUGCAAUCAAGAAGAGAGAUUAUAGGUGCAUUUAUUUUGUGACCAUUAUCAAUGAAGAGAUCCUCUUGUAAUUAGGUUUAGACAGAAAGAUUAUAGGGUUGUUGUUGUUGUUGUUUUUUUCAAAAGAAGUAAAAAAUAUUGAUUUUAUAGUGACAUUUUACGAUAUAGUUUACCAUUCAUGUGCAAGUGCAACCAUUUUUUUAGUUCAUACUGUUUUCUAAUCUAAUGUAUAUCAAUGUCCAUUUUUUGUUAUUAGAUUACACUGAUUUCUGUAAAAUGUAAAAUGAUCAUGUUUAAGAUAAAGUGUGUGUGUGUGUGUGUGUGUUUGUGUGUGUGUGUGUGUGUGUGGGUGGGGGGGGGCAUGUAUAUCUGUUUGUCAAGAGCACUGUCUGUAAGAUGCACUGAAAGUUCAUGGCUGAUGAUGACCAACCUCCCUGUCAGAAAACACACAGGUCAUAUUCUAAAUACUUGAAGGAUAAAUCAUUUUGUUAAUAAUGUAAGACUAGAUAAUUUUGGAUUUUAGAUCCAAAUGUAGACAUAGAAAGUGCAAUAGAGCUACAAUUGGUGGGAUAAGGUAGAUUUACAUGCAUUAAGGUGAGGGAAAGUAGUUUUUUUUUUGUUUAGUUGGAGCUAUUUAACAGGGCUAUUUGGUAGAAUUUGGUAGAAUUGUAUGGGAACCACUCAACAUUUCUAAUUAAUUCAUAACUGAAUGUGAUGAGACAAGACUUUUUAACAUUCUUUAUUUGCCAUACGAGUUAAUGUGUGCAUAUUUUAAAAUAAAAAUACUAUUUACAAAUAGUACAAAUUAAUUAACGAUCCUUUAAUUAUUGAAUUCAUUUAAAUAAAAAGAUUAUUACUACUUUGGUUUGGAAGUCUGCAAGUAACAAAUUUAAUUAAACGUGAAAAUUCGAUGACUGAAAUAGUAUUUUAUUUUUAAAACGUACUUCGAUAAUCAUGUUUGUAUUUACAACUUUGAAAACAUAUUUUUUACAGUGAAGUUUAAUUUCACUCGAUAAGUGACAUUGACCUUGGUCCGACUGAAAUCGAACUUUUAAAGUGCAUGUAAACAUACUUACAAUGCUCUCAGAGUAGGUUAUAGUAGCACGAAGUAGAGCUGCAUUUGUUGGGGUGGGAUAUCGCUGUGUGUGAUGAUGGGCUGAGGUUGGUGGUCACUGCGGCCUGACUGAAUCAAUGUGUCUGGAAAAAAACGCAUGUGGUAACACAGCACAACCUGUCACCCAGUCCUGCAUCUGACAGUAAAACUGUGUGUUUGUACCUGUGGUGUGUGUUGAUAUUGCAGGCCUGGUCCAACUAAGUAGCACAAUCAUAAUGAGAUCCAAAUUGCAACUUUUUUGCAUUUUAUGUUUGAUUAUAAUGCAUGUUCUGCCAAAAAUGAUCUAAAAGUUUUCCAUUCUGUUUCAUUUAUAAGUAAACCUUUAUUUAUAUACACUGUGAGAUGAAGAUUAAUAUACUUAUUGAUCUUGUACCUUUGAGCUCAGUUCCACUGUUUUUUAAAAAAUGAAUAAAAAUAAAAAUAAUAUAAAUACUUGAAUUAAUGUCCUGAGACUAAGUAUUGGGAAUUGAGUUCAAAAUAACAUCACUAACAAAUAAAACCAUUUGGUGGACAAAAAUCAAUACAUACAUUUUCAUUAAUUUUAAUGGGUAAACUUUAAUUUAUAUCCUAUUUAUGUUGUGGAAUAAGCUUUUAUUUUGUGUUUCAGCUAUAACAAAUAAUUACAUGCUCUUAAAAUAAUCUUAAUCACUGAUACUAAUGGAUUAAUUAAAUAUUUCCUGUAAGUUAAAAUUGAAUGAUUAUGGACACCAUUCACUUCUAACAAAAAUAUGUUCUAAAAAUAUUAAGCUAAUGUACCCAUUUAGUUAAGAAGACAUUAUUUCUUAAAUUAAAUUUGUAUCAUUCUUCAAACCUUACUUUUGAAUGUUCUCCGAACAUUCUGAAACAAGUAGUAACAUUUAAAAAAAUGUUAGACCAACAUCCAACUAAAAUGUUUUUAAAAAAAAUAUUAAAUGAGUGACGUAUAUGCUUUUGUGCUAACGUUUUGAUGACAUUAUUAAAGACCACUAGCCUGGUUAAAACUAGACCAUUCUCAGUUCUAACUGAGUUAUGGUCUGGCAAAG
Non-coding RNA from Pimephales promelas (fathead minnow), 3046 nucleotides. NCBI's taxonomy places the organism in Eukaryota, Metazoa, Chordata, Actinopteri, Cypriniformes, Leuciscidae. The record is from RefSeq and is a predicted model, not a curated record.